UGCAUGGGAAUCUGCCCGAUAGUGGGGGACAACCUGGGGAAACUCAGGCUAAUACCGCAUACGUCCUACGGGAGAAAGCAGGGGAUCUUCGGACCUUGCGCUAUCGGAUGUGCCUGCGUGAGAUUAGCUAGUUGGUGGGGUAAAGGCCUACCAAGGCAACGAUCUCUAGCUGGUCUGAGAGGAUGAUCAGCCACACUUGGAACUGAGACACGGUCCAGACUCCUACGGGAGGCAGCAGUGGGGAAUAUUGCACAAUGGGCGAAAGCCUGAUGCAGCCAUGCCGCGUGUGUGAAGAAGGCC
Molecule: ribosomal RNA, 300 nt
Filed under: uncultured Oceanospirillales bacterium
Lineage: Bacteria; Pseudomonadati; Pseudomonadota; Gammaproteobacteria; Oceanospirillales
Description: bacterial SSU rRNA
Rfam family: Bacterial small subunit ribosomal RNA
Source: RNAcentral